This 1274-nucleotide long non-coding RNA is filed under the name Felis catus (domestic cat). Its description in RNAcentral is "lncRNA (ENSFCAG00000050182.1)". The record is from RNAcentral. Lineage: Eukaryota; Metazoa; Chordata; Mammalia; Carnivora; Felidae.
GGACUAGUAUAUGAUAGCAUUAUCAUCACCACAGAGAUGAAUGACCGGCAGCCUGAGGUGCAGGAGCCGGGCUGUGACCUUGCCCUCUGGUUUGGCCUCAGCUUCUGUACAGGCUGACCUGGACAAAGCUGGACUAUGGGGCCAAGCAUCUUUGUGGCCCCUGCUCCCUCUGGAGUCUCCAGGUCCCAGCUUCCCACUUUCCCAACAUCCCCUCCCAAACCCAAGUCAGCAGUGAGCCUUUUCUCAGCCUGGGUCCACCCUUCCCCUUGAGGGCUCUAAGCCUGUUUCCCCAUCUGUGCAAGGGGUUAGAGAUGGUACUGCCGCUGGGUCCUGAAUGGUGAUGUCUGCAAAGGAAAGGCUUGGCACAGGCCUGAAACUGGAGGGAACUGUGGUUUUCACCUUUGUUGCCUUUAACAGCUGUGCAACUUUUUAAGCCACCAGACUGGGAAGAAACGUGCCCCAGGGAGGUGAUGUCGCUGAUAUCCACUAGUGCUCAGCACGUGGCUUCCUCUUGUUCUCAGCACAGUUUUGGACACAGACAUGGACACUCCCAUUUUACUGAAGGAAACCAGCCCAGGCUCACACAGCUGCCUAUCCAUAUUUUGCCUGACCAUUUCCCUCUUGGCUGUGAUGUGUUUGAAAUUCACUGGAAACAUAGCAUUAUUACCGCUUCCAUGGGAACUUAUGCUUGUCUAAUUUACCUCCAGUGAUCUGUUUUGCGCCAUAUCCCCCUUCCUUUCUGAUUUGAAAACCUUUGCUGUUGGUGAUGUGGGAAAAAUCAUAGGACCUGAUUUGACAGAAUUGUUUGUCAGUUCAGGAAAUAGCCAACUGCAGGAGACAUUUCUCCGGUGUUUCUGGUGAGUCAGAGGCAUCUUUUAGUCCAAAGAUUUUACCCUUACUUUUGUUUUGUCUGAAUCUCUGAGAUAUUUGUGGUUCUGGAGUUUAUUAUGGCUAUUGGACUUGACAAAAAAGAAUUGCAAGUAAAUGGUGCAUUGGCUAUUAAAUUAAAAUAAGUCUGCCAUUUCCAUUAUUGAAAAUUAGUAGUUUGGUAUCUGUUUCAUAGAAUGGAAACAGAGCUUUGGGUCAAAAAUGAGAUAUCUACCUUAAUUCUCUUCCAGAGAAAUGGUUGUUAAAAUAUCAGCAAGUAGAAAGGAAAUUCUUUCUAUUGGUUAUUCUACUUCUAAAGUUUUAGUAUGCUAGGCCACAGGUACACUAUUCUAGAGUGUUUCCUGAGGCAGAGGAAAUAAAAACAAAAUUAAACUAUUGGGGCUACA